RNAcentral lists this RNase P RNA (356 nucleotides) under Rhodanobacter denitrificans. RNAcentral's name for it is "RNase P RNA component class A". It matches the Rfam family "Bacterial RNase P class A". Rfam says of the family: Ribonuclease P (RNase P) is a ubiquitous endoribonuclease, found in archaea, bacteria and eukarya as well as chloroplasts and mitochondria. RNAcentral also lists the same sequence under 1 other name. Lineage: Bacteria; Pseudomonadati; Pseudomonadota; Gammaproteobacteria; Lysobacterales; Rhodanobacteraceae. The record is from RNAcentral.
GGAGUCGGCCAGACAGUCGCGUCACGCAUCGCGUGCCGAGGAAAGUCCGGGCUCCACAGGGCAGGGUGCCAGGUAACGCCUGGGCGGCGCGAGCCGACGGACAGUGCAACAGAGAACAGACAGCCGAACGGCGUCGCAAGACGUGCGUGGUGAUGGUGAAACGGUGCGGUAAGAGCGCACCGCCUGCGGGGCCAACGCCGCAGGGCACGGCAAACCCCACCCGGAGCAAGACCAAAUAGGGGGACCAUGGCGCGGCCCGCGUCGUCCCCGGGUUGGUCGCUCGAGCCUUGCGGCGACGCAAGGCCCAGAGGAAUGACUGUCCACGACAGAACCCGGCUUACCGGCCGGCUCCGCUU